Non-coding RNA from Kogia breviceps (pygmy sperm whale), 1062 nucleotides. Lineage: Eukaryota; Metazoa; Chordata; Mammalia; Artiodactyla; Physeteridae. The record is from RefSeq and is a predicted model, not a curated record.
CGAGGUUGGUACGGUUGUUCUUCCUUGUUCCUUACGCCACGGUUGAGGGAGCAACCGGGCCCGGAGGGGGUUGGGGAAGUGGCCCAAACCUGCCAGCCAACCUAGCCCCCGGGUCCAGCCUCCGCCUGAGACACAUCUUGGUCCUCGGCAUUCUACACGUUUCUGCUUCCCCCUCCCCCCAGUUCUGCCGGGAAGUCGGAAUCUCCAGAUCUGCUUCUCUGUAUAGGACUGUCGGUGAUCCGGCUGGAGACCUUGAGGUAAAUCAGCAUCAGUCUAGGGGCUUUGGUGCCCUGACUCGGAUCCCUGGAUUCAAGGAACCUGAAGACCCACAUCACAGCUAUUCCUGUGAACCUGCCCAAGACCUCAAAUACUUAUUCAGGAGGGUGAUCCCCAAGCCAAGUGACAACCGCAUUGAUAAUUUGCUUCCAGGUUGCAACAAUUCCACAUCAAGAUGAUGGUGAUACAGGGAUUCCAGCCAUUCCCUGACAUAGAUCCUACUGGAAUAACAGCAGAAGUCACCCUGGGGCCCCUGGACAAGACAGGGUGAGAGUUCCGUGGCCCCAAUUAGGUAGGGUCCACAAGCCCAGUGCCAGCCUGAAGAAGCUACAGAAGACAGACCUCCACCCCUCAUCCUGCCAAUAAAGAGUUCUUGGGGUCCACGUCACUUGGGAAAUUUGAGGUAAGAGAUAGGUGGCUGAGCAGCUGCAACCAUUCUCCUGCUGACACUUCAAGAUAAGGUACUAGCAGGAGCUUUGGGCCCUGACUGGGUGGAAGACAAAGCGACUACAGUUUCCUCAUUCUUGUGGUCAAGGGGAUUUUCCAGCCCAACACAUCUGUUUCACAGUCUUGGUCUCUUCUGGAUUCUUGGUCUCAUUGGAUUCUUUCCUCAAAGAAGACAUCUGUAAGUCUCUGAAGUGCUUAGCAAUAAAGCAAAGGUGGUAAGUUGAUUGGAGCACACGUGUCUUUAUUUUCAUGCCUGUUUGUACCCCAGAGGAUUCCAUGGGACGACUGGGUCAUCCCUGGGCAGUCUCAGGGGCAGAGCAUGAAAAUGGAAGUUCACGC